UGGGGAAUAUUGCGCAAUGGGGGAAACCCUGACGCAGCAACGCCGCGUGAAUGAUGAAUGCCUUCGGGUUGUAAAGUUCUGUCUUCUGGGACGAUAAUGACGGUACCAGAGGAGGAAGCCACGGCUAACUACGUGCCAGCAGCCGCGGUAAUACGUAGGUGGCAAGCGUUGUCCGGAUUUACUGGGCGUAAAGGAUGCGUAGGCGGACAUUUAAGUCAGAUGUGAAAUACCCGAGCUUAACUUGGGUGCUGCAUUUGAAACUGGGUGUCUAGAGUGCAGGAGAGGUAAGUGGAAUUCCUAGUGUUGCGGUGAAAUGCGUAGAGAUUAGGAAGAACACCAGUGGCGAAGGCGACUUACUGGACUGUAACUGACGCUGAGGCAUGAAAGCGUGGGGAGCAAACAG
RNAcentral lists this ribosomal RNA (403 nucleotides) under uncultured bacterium. RNAcentral's name for it is "bacterial SSU rRNA". It matches the Rfam family "Bacterial small subunit ribosomal RNA", at positions 355 to 775 of the family's 1533-position model. The record is from RNAcentral.